AGCGAACGCUGGCGGCAGGCCUAACACAUGCAAGUCGAACGAACUCUUCGGAGUUAGUGGCGGACGGGUGAGUAACACGUGGGAACGUGCCUUUUGGUUCGGAAUAACUCAGGGAAACUUGUGCUAAUCCCAAUUGGGCCCUCGGGGGGAAGAUUUAUCGCCAUUAGAGCGGCCCGCGUCUGAUUAGCUAGUUGGUGAGGUAACGGCUCACCAAGGCGACGAUCAGUAGCUGGUCUGAGAGGAUGACCAGCCACACUGGGACUGAGACACGGCCCAGACUCCUACGGGAGGCAGCAGUGGGGAAUCUUGCGCAAUGGGCGAAAGCCUGACGCAGCCAUGCCGCGUGAAUGAUGGAGGUCUUAGGAUUGUAAAAUUCUUUCACCGGGGACGAUAAUGACGGUACCCGGAGAAGAAGCCCCGGCUAACUUCGUG
This 432-nucleotide ribosomal RNA is filed under the name uncultured bacterium. Its description in RNAcentral is "partial 16S ribosomal RNA". It matches the Rfam family "Bacterial small subunit ribosomal RNA", at positions 29 to 507 of the family's 1533-position model. The record is from RNAcentral.